This 582-nucleotide long non-coding RNA is filed under the name Hordeum vulgare. RNAcentral describes it as "long non-coding RNA (HVUL_LNC006869)". The record is from RNAcentral. Lineage: Eukaryota; Viridiplantae; Streptophyta; Magnoliopsida; Poales; Poaceae.
GAACUCACUCUAUUUCAAAUGCGUCAUUAGCGUACAUUAUGGUGUGCUUAAUAGACGGAGCAAGAAUCAUGUGAAGCAAGAAAUUCAAGGCCUGUUCGGAUGUUCUCCGCUCCGCAUCUCUACUCCCGGAGUUGGAGGAGCAGUAGUUAAAAAAUACAGAGUGAGGAAAGAGCUACUUCACAGAUUCUCAAAUUUGACGGAAUUGGAGGCUUGCCGAACAGCUCCUCGGAUGAAAUUAUUAUGAUUGUAUAGAAAGAGAGCGACAGGAUGACCCUGAAGUACCAGGCCACAUACAUAGUCAAACAUAGGUAACCCUUCGAGAUAAUUGCCCGGAAUGAUUAGGUCUCUCUCCAUUCGACCUUAUCCCUGCAACCAAUAAUCAAAGGCGGUGGAGAUGCAUAAAAGAAGUUUCCUUUGAAGAGCAUGCCUGUUCAGGCUGGGCGACUCAUCUUUAUUUGCAGAGACUCAGCUGGCGUUGUUUUCUGCCGGAUCACAUGAUUGGUUUUCAAGUGCCGCGAACACAAAUUCCAGAGACCAUUAUAGAUGUUGAUUGCCACCCGAAAGAUUAAGAUGCCCGUGGUG